UUUAUGGAGAGUUUGAUCCUGGCUCAGGAUGAACGCUGGCGGCGUGCCUAAUACAUGCAAGUCGAGCGAACGGACGAGAAGCUUGCUUCUCUGAUGUUAGCGGCGAACGGGUGAGUAACACGUGGAUAACCUACCUAUAAGACUGGGAUAACUUCGGGAAACCGGAGCUAAUACCGGAUAAUAUUUUGAACCGCAUGGUUCAAAAGUGAAAGACGGUCUUGCUGUCACUUAUAGAUGGAUCCGCGCUGCAUUAGCUAGUUGGUAAGGUAAUGGCUUACCAAGGCAACGAUGCAUAGCCGACCUGAGAGGGUGAUCGGCCACACUGGAACUGAGACACGGUCCAGACUCCUACGGGAGGCAGCAGUAGGGAAUCUUCCGCAAUGGGCGAAAGCCUGACGGAGCAACGCCGCGUGAGUGAUGAAGGUCUUCGGAUCGUAAAACUCUGUUAUUAGGGAAGAACAUAUGUGUAAGUAACUGUGCACAUCUUGACGGUACCUAAUCAGAAAGCCACGGCUAACUACGUGCCAGCAGCCGCGGUAAUACGUAGGUGGCAAGCGUUAUCCGGAAUUAUUGGGCGUAAAGCGCGCGUAGGCGGUUUUUUAAGUCUGAUGUGAAAGCCCACGGCUCAACCGUGGAGGGUCAUUGGAAACUGGAAAACUUGAGUGCAGAAGAGGAAAGUGGAAUUCCAUGUGUAGCGGUGAAAUGCGCAGAGAUAUGGAGGAACACCAGUGGCGAAGGCGACUUUCUGGUCUGUAACUGACGCUGAUGUGCGAAAGCGUGGGGAUCAAACAGGAUUAGAUACCCUGGUAGUCCACGCCGUAAACGAUGAGUGCUAAGUGUUAGGGGGUUUCCGCCCCUUAGUGCUGCAGCUAACGCAUUAAGCACUCCGCCUGGGGAGUACGACCGCAAGGUUGAAACUCAAAGGAAUUGACGGGGACCCGCACAAGCGGUGGAGCAUGUGGUUUAAUUCGAAGCAACGCGAAGAACCUUACCAAAUCUUGACAUCCUUUGACAACUCUAGAGAUAGAGCCUUCCCCUUCGGGGGACAAAGUGACAGGUGGUGCAUGGUUGUCGUCAGCUCGUGUCGUGAGAUGUUGGGUUAAGUCCCGCAACGAGCGCAACCCUUAAGCUUAGUUGCCAUCAUUAAGUUGGGCACUCUAAGUUGACUGCCGGUGACAAACCGGAGGAAGGUGGGGAUGACGUCAAAUCAUCAUGCCCCUUAUGAUUUGGGCUACACACGUGCUACAAUGGACAAUACAAAGGGCAGCGAAACCGCGAGGUCAAGCAAAUCCCAUAAAGUUGUUCUCAGUUCGGAUUGUAGUCUGCAACUCGACUACAUGAAGCUGGAAUCGCUAGUAAUCGUAGAUCAGCAUGCUACGGUGAAUACGUUCCCGGGUCUUGUACACACCGCCCGUCACACCACGAGAGUUUGUAACACCCGAAGCCGGUGGAGUAACCUUUUAGGAGCUAGCCGUCGAAGGUGGGACAAAUGAUUGGGGUGAAGUCGUAACAAGGUAGCCGUAUCGGAAGGUGCGGCUGGAUCACCUCCUUU
RNAcentral lists this ribosomal RNA (1552 nucleotides) under Staphylococcus aureus. Its description in RNAcentral is "16S ribosomal RNA". It matches the Rfam family "Bacterial small subunit ribosomal RNA". The record is from RNAcentral. Lineage: Bacteria; Bacillati; Bacillota; Bacilli; Caryophanales; Staphylococcaceae.